This is a long non-coding RNA of Polyodon spathula (Mississippi paddlefish), 1760 nucleotides long. RefSeq lists it as uncharacterized. The record is from RefSeq and is a predicted model, not a curated record. Lineage: Eukaryota; Metazoa; Chordata; Actinopteri; Acipenseriformes; Polyodontidae. The transcript is spliced from 3 exons.
UCGCCUCCCGAGGGUCCGCCAUCGCCUCCAUCGCCUCCCGAGGGACCGCCGCCGCCAUCGCCUCCCGAGGGUCCGGCACUGCUAUUACCUCCCAAAGGAAAUGGCGUUGCGGUGACGUCAAGCCAGGAGGAGGAACAGAAACAAACCACUGCAGAAAGGUGCUCCAGUGGAGAUGUGCCAGUGGCUUGCAACAUGGCAGAGCAGGUGCUCCAAAUAUUCCUGCUGGCUCCGCUGUGUCAGCUCCCAUCCACGUCUCCAUCUGCCAAACAAAACAACAAAACACAACUCAGCGCAAGGGGCCAUACCCAUGCAGGUACAGGAGGUAUAUUUGCAGCUCAGAUUCCUUCUUUCCUGUUCACAGGAUCCCAAUGAUUUGUUUUAUGCAAAUGGAAUCCUUGAUACGUGUAUAGUAAUAUAUAAAAAUAGCAGUUCCCUACUGCAAGCCAAUGGCAAUGGUUACGACAGCAGAGCUGACAAGACUUCAAUACAGGGCUGAUAGCAGACUUAAUUAGCAGGUGCCCUGUUCCAAAGACUGCACAGGUUACUGAUACAGUAUUUUGCAAGGAACCAUCUGAAAAGUGAUCACUAUGGGCAAUUCUGGAGAACAGACUGAAGGAAUUCACCGAAGAGGGUACUUGUUGGGUGAUGAUCACAUCCAGAACAAUUAAACCUCUUUCAGAAUUCUCACAGACUUGAAUCGUAUAUAGAAAUAGGCCUGCCAUUUGAAUAUGUUAACCAUUUAAUUUACUAUAGGUUGUCCAAAAUGUAAAUACUUUCUGCCCUCUCAAUUUGCAUUUGUUAUGUGUUUUAUUUAGUUAUGUAUGUUCUUAUUCAUCAUUUAUUGCAGUUUCUGCACUCAGGGAUAUUUGGUAUGCUUUAUGAAGUCGCCAUUACAUUUCACCUUUAGGGCUGUCUGUGAGCAAGUCUGAGCAACAUGUAAUUUCUAUAAUGAUGCCAGUAUAAAAAUAACCAUGGACUGCAUGCUCAGUUCAGUUAUUUGUUCUAGGGCCAGAUCUGCCCCGCAGACAGAAUAACAUGUUUCCAAUCUGAUUGGUUUACUAUGGAAAGGAGGUGGGGUUUUGUUUCAAUGACAUUUCUCCAAUUGAUUGGUUUACAUUUGGAGGCAGGGUUAUUUUUUACUUUUGGCUGUUUAUUAUAUUAACUUACAAACUUUUAGAUUUAAAAAGCUUUAUAAGAGGUGUUCCUUAAAACAAAACAAAAUAAAAAAAGAGAAAAUAAGGGGUAUUCUGUGCUUAUUUGCUUAAACUUGCAAAGUUUUACUUACUAUUUUAACAAAACAUGCAUACAUACUUUUAUAGUAUUAAGUAAUCUUAUUUGUAAGAUUUUUUUUUUCUUCGUUUUCUGGGUUUUUCCUUUAUUUAAUAAAUAAUUUAUUUAAGCUUCUCUCUUAUUAAUUCAGUAGCAUUUCCAACAUGCAGUCCCAACUGUAUUAAUAAGGAAGGCAUUGUUUGAGUGUUUUACUUAAUUUAGAUUAGUAAUAGAGGAUGCCAUGUUUUUCUACAGAAUAUUCUUAUUUUGACUAUUAUUCAAAGAGCUAUGUUUCAAAAUUUCAUCCUACAUUUUCACAAUGUAAUACUGUUUUGCUAUUAUUUACUGCAUAACCAAAAAAUACAGAUAUAGAUGUGUUUGCAAGAAUGAAGUUCACAGAAGCGGUCAUUCAUAGUCAUUCAGUUUAACAAUAAUAUUAUAUGGGCCUGUGACAGAGAUCGAAUGAUGCUUGGUGUUAGAUCUCCCUCCCG